Long non-coding RNA from Ictalurus punctatus (channel catfish), 433 nucleotides. NCBI's taxonomy places the organism in Eukaryota, Metazoa, Chordata, Actinopteri, Siluriformes, Ictaluridae. The record is from Ensembl.
UUCAUGUAACACACAGUAACACACAGUAACACACAGUAACACACAGUAACACACAACACACCGUAACACACAACACACAGUAACACACAGUAACACACAUAAACACAGUAACACACAACACACAGUAACACACCGUAACACACAGUAACACACAGUAACACACAGUAACACACCGUAACACACACACAGUAACACACAACACACAGUAACACACAACACACAGUAACACACAGUAACACACAUAAACACACCGUAACACACAACACACAUAACCACACAGUAACACACAGUAACACACAACACACCGUAACACACAGUAACACACAACACACAGUAACACACAGUAACACACAGCACACAGUAACACACAGUAACACACAGUAACACACAGUAACACACAACACACAGUAAACACAGUAACACACAGUAACAC